This 5236-nucleotide long non-coding RNA is filed under the name Homo sapiens (human). RNAcentral's name for it is "HSALNT0039787". Lineage: Eukaryota; Metazoa; Chordata; Mammalia; Primates; Hominidae. The record is from RNAcentral.
AGGGAUCUGUAGGAUGAACAUUUCCUUGAGCUCAUGAUGAGAAAGAAUUCACAUUCCCUCUAGCUAGAGUGUAGAGGCAUUAUCAACUAUAAGGGGCAUUUAGUAGGGAACCUAGAAUGACCACACAUUAGAAGUACGGCUAAAUUAAUUCUAGAACAAAGGCUACUUGAUCAACCAUCCAAAAGUUCCUGAAAAGGCAAAACACUCUAAAGAAAACAAUCCAACACUUACCUGUGCAAAAUUCAAAAUAUCAAGCAUCCAAUAAAAUUUUGCUGGACAUACAAAGAAGCAGGAAAGUGUGACCCAUAACCAGGAGAAAAAUUAGUCAAUAGGAAAGGGCCCAGAAAUAACAGUUCAGGAAAGAAGCAAAAAUCUUAAAAUGGCUAUUACAAAUACACUCAAAGAUGAAAAGGAAAACAUGAACAUGAUGCAGAGUGGAAUGAAAGAUACAAAAAAUAACCUGAAUGGAAUUUAUAAAGAGGAAAAAUAAAAUAUAUGAAAUGAAAAAUCCACUAAUAGCAGGGUAGACACUAGAAGAAAGGAUCAAUAGACAUGAAAACAUAGCAAUAUAAAUAAUUCAAAAUGAAAUGAAAAAAAUGAAAAAGAAUCAGUUCUCUGUAGAAAUAUACCAGUCUAGUGUAUGUGCACGUGGAGUCCAGAAGGAAAGGAGAAAGGGGGAUAACAGAAACUUUAUGUAAAGAAAUAAUAGGUGAAAAUUUUCCCAAAUUCGAUGAAACUAUGAACCCACAAAUCCAAGAAAGUCAAUGAACCAGAGGGAGAAUAAACCUAAACCUAAAGAAAGUCACGCCAAGGCAGAUCAUGAUCAAAUUACUGAAAAAGAAUGAAGAAGAGAAAAAAAAAUUUUUUUUUGAGACCCUUGCUCUGUCACCCAGGCUUGGCGUGCAGUGGCUCAAUCUCGGCUCACUGCAACCUGCAACUCCCAGGUUCAAGCGAUUCUCCUGCCUCAGGCUCCUGAGUAGCUGGGAUUACAGACACACACCACCAUGUCCAACCUUUUUUUGUAUUUUUAGUAGAGACAGGGUUUCACCAGGUUGGCCGGGCUGGUCUCGAACUCCUGACCUCAAGUGAUACACCUACCUUGGCCUCCCAAAGUGCUGGGAUUACAGGCAUGAGCCACCACACCAGGCCCCAGAAGAGAAAAUCUUAAAAGCAUUAUGCACAAAAGGACACAUCACAUACUGAGGAACAAAGUUAAGAAUUAUAGCAACAUUUUGUCAGAAACGGCAAGUCAAUGCUAUGAUAUCCUAAAAAUGCUGAAAACCUUUUCAGACAAAUGAAAGCUGAGGGAAUUCAUCACAAACAAAUCUGCAUUAUGAGAAAUAUUAGAGUAAGCUCUUCAGAUGCUUACAGACAGUGGCUGCUCCAGCUAUUUGAGAGGCUAAGGCAGGAGGAUUGCUUGAGGCCACUUCAACACCAGCCUGAGCAACAUAGCCUGUAUCUUAAAAAAAAAAAAAAAAAAAAAAAAAAAAUUAAAAUUAGCUAGGUGUGUUGGCAACAUAGCUAGCCUGUAUCUAAAAAAAAUCUUUUUUAGUUAGCUGAGUGCAGUGGCACACCUGUACUCCCAACUACUUGGCAGGCUGAGGUGGGAGGAUUGCUUAAGCCCAGGAGUUUGAGGCUGCAGUGAGUGGUGACUGCACACUGCACUCCAGCCUGUAUGACAGAGUGAGACCCUAUCUCUUAAAUAAAUAGAAUAAGUAAGCUCUGCAUACAAAAGGAACGUGAUACAAAUGGAAAUACAGAUCUACACAAAAUAACAGGGAGAAAAGUAAGUGGCUAAAUGUAAAAGAUAUUUCAUUUUAAACAUCUUUAAAAGAUAAUCUAGUGAAUUUUAUCAAACAAAGAGGAAUUAAUACCAGCCUUUCACAAACUCUUGCAAAAAACUGAGAGGAACCAUUUCCCAACAUAUUGUAUGAGGCUAGUAUUACCCUGGCACCAAAACCAAAGACAUCACAAGAAAAGAAAACUACUAACCAAUAUCUCACAAACAUAGACACAAAAAUUCUCAAUGAAGUACUAGCAAAGUAUUAAACACCAUGACUAAGUGGGAUUAAUUCCAGGAAUGCAAGAUUGGUUCAACAUAUGAAAGUCAAUGUCAUACACCAUAUUAGUAGAAUACAAAACACACGAUCAUCUGAAUAGAUGCAAAGAACAAAAUUUGACAAAACUCAACAGCGUUUCAUAAAAAAGUUCAUUAGAAACUCAGUGCCCAGGAUUUUUAUUGGGGCACCGUCUGCACAGAAUGUAGGCACACUCUGCCUAGCCUGUACCAAAAUGUCAGACUACCAGCAGGAGAACAGGUGUUCUGCAUAAAGCAUAUUGUUUGUAUUAACAGUUCAGGCAUAGUGAGCCACUGUUAUCAGAAACCUAGGUUUCUAGAGGCCACCCAAGAGUCAACCUUACAGGAAGGCCUUUCUAAGCAUAAACAUUUAUGCUUGCCAUGUUUAACUCUUCUGCACAGCAGGGGACCUACCCAAAAUAGCCAAAACAAUCUUGGAAAAAAGAACAAAUUUGGAAGACUCAUACUUCCUGAUUUCAGAACUUCUACAAAGGUAUAAUAAUCAAAACUAUGUUACACUGGCACAAGGAUAAACACAUCAAUCAGCUUAAUAAAAUUGAGAGUUCAGAAAUAAACCCUUAUAUUUAUGGCCAAUUAAUUUUCAACAAAGGGGCCAAGACGGUUCAAUGGGCAAAGCAUAGUCUUUUCAACAAAUGGUGCUGGAACAACUGGAUAGUCACAUGCAAAAGAGUGAAUGUGGACCCCUAUCUCACAUCACAUACAAAAGUUCAUUCAAAGUAAAUCUGAGACCUAACUGUAAGCAAGAAAACUAUAAAACACUUAGAAGGAAGAACAGGAGUAAGUCUUUAUGACCUCUGAUUAGACAAUGACUUCUCAGAUACACCAAAAGCACAGCAACACAAUAGAUUGGAAUUAAAGUUUCACAAAAUGUUUGUGCUUCAAAACACACCAUCAAGAAAGUGGAAUGACAACCCACAGAAUGGGAAAGACAUUUUAAAUCAUGUACUGAUAAGGGACUUAUAUACAGAAUAACGCUUACAACUCAAUAAUAAAAAGACAACCCCAAAUAGCCCAAUUUUAAAAUGAAUAAAUGACAUGAAUAGACAUUUGGCCAGAGAAGAUAUACAAAUGGACGAAUAAGCACAUGAAAACCAAAACCACAAUGAGGUACCACUUCCCACUCAUUAGGAUGGCAUAUAUGUCAUUGUCAUAUGCCACAUAAUGAUGUUUUGGUUAACAACAGACCACAUAUACAAUGGUGGUGCCAUAGAUUAUAAUGGAGCAUAUGUAGAAACCUGAUACAUGGCACUUGAUAUUGACACUGCAUAUUAAGUUGGGGAAAUGAUUGAUACUCAGUAAUGGUGCUGGGACAUUUGGUUUUCCAUAUGAAAAAUAUAUAAAUAAAAAAUGUAUAUACUAUCUAUGUUUGUGUAAGUAUACUCUAUGAUGUUUACACAAUGACAAGAUAGUCUUAACAAUGCAGACCAUAUCCCUGUCAUUAAACUACACAUGUCCCUCCCUCCCUCUCUCUCUCUCUGCUGAUGGGAACGUAAAAUGGUACAGCCACUGUGGAAAACAAAAUGUUGAACAUAGCGUUAUCAUAUGAUCCAGCAAUUCCAUGCUAGGUGUAUACCCAGGGAACUGAAAACAGGGAUUCAAACAGAUACUAGUAUACCAAUUUUUUGUUGUUGUUGUUGUUGUUGUUUUGAGACGGAGUCUCGCUCUGUCGCCCAGGCUGGAGUGCGGUGGUGCGAUCUCGGCUCACUGCAAGCUCCGCCUCAUGGGUUCACACCAUUCUCUUGCCUCAGCCUCCCGAGUAGCUGGGACUACAGGCGGCUGCCACCACGCCUGGCUAAUUUUUUGUAUUUUUAGUAGAGGUGGGAUUUCAUCGUGUUAGCCAGGCUGGUCUCGAUCUCCUGACCUCGUGAUCUGCCUGCUUCGGCCUCCCAAAGUGCUGGGAUUACAGGCGUGAGCCACUGUGUCCAGCCUGUAUACCAAUGUUUGUAGCCGCCUUAUUUACAAUAGUCAAAAGGUACAAACAACCCAGAUGUCCAACAGGCGAAUGGAUAAACAAAAUGUGAUAUAUACAUACAAUGAAAUAUUAUUUGGCCUUGAAAACAGUGAAAUUCUGAUACACACUGCAACAUGGAUGAACCUUGAAAAAAGGACAAGUAUUGUAUAUUAGUGUAUUCCUGAUUCCACUUGCAUGAGGUACCUAGAAUAGGCAAAUUCAUAGGGACAGAAAGGAGAAUAGAGGUUACCUGGAAAUGGGGGAAUGGGGAGUUAUUGUUUAAUGAAUACAGAAUUUCUGUUUGGGAUGAUGAACAUGUUCUGAAAAUAGACAGUAGGAAUGGUUAAUCCAUUGUGAAUGUACUUAAUUCAAUUGAAUUGUACACUUGAAAUGGUUUAAAUGGCAAAAUUAUUUUUAACAUUCCUCACAGCACCUAUAAACUGGCAAAUUUUAUGUUAUGUAUAUUUUACCACAUAAUUUAAAGAAAGACACAAUGGCAUACCACUUCACAACCCCUAGGAUGGCUAUAAUUAAAAAAAAAAAAAAGACAGUAACAAGCAUCAGGGAGAAGAAAUGGGGACCCUCAAACAUUGCCGUGGAAAUGUAAAAUGAUGCUGCCACUGUGGAAAACAGUUUGGCACUUCCUCAAAAUGUUAAAAAUAGAGUUUCCAUAUAGCCCAGCAAUUCCCAGCAAUACCCAAGAGACAUGAAAACCCACAUCUACACAGAGACUUGUAUAUCAGUGUUGAUAGCAGCACUGUUCAUAAUAGCCAAAAAGUAGAAAGAACCCAAUUUCUGUCAACCAAUAAGUAAAAUGUGGUAGAUCCAUUCAAUGGAAUAGUAUUCAGCAAACAAAACAAAACAAAACAAAAAUGCUAAGCAAAAAAAGGCUACAUAUUAUGUGAUUCAAUUAUAUGAAAUGUCCAAAGUAAGCAAAUGUAUAAAGGCAAAAAUAGAUUAGGGAUUGUCUGGGGCUGUAGAGGUUGCUGGGAAAUGGGGAGUGACUGCUAAUGGAUAUAGGAUUUCUUUUCUUUUUCUUUUUUUUUGAGAGACAGUCUUGCUCUGUGGCCAGGCUGCAGUGUAGUGGCACAAUCUCAGCUCACUGCAACCUCCAACUCCCUGGUUCAAGCUAUUCUUCUGCCUCAGCCUCCCGAGUUGCUGGGAUUACAGGCACAUGCCACCAUGCC